This 254-nucleotide ribosomal RNA is filed under the name uncultured bacterium. Its description in RNAcentral is "partial 16S ribosomal RNA". It matches the Rfam family "Bacterial small subunit ribosomal RNA", at positions 524 to 776 of the family's 1533-position model. The record is from RNAcentral.
CACGUAGGGCGCAAGCGUUGUCCGGAAUUAUUGGGCGUAAAGAGCUCGUAGGCGGCUUCGUAAGUCGGGUGUGAAAACCCCAGGCUCAACCUGGGGACGCCACUCGAUACUGCGAUAGCUAGAGUCUGGUAGGGGAUCACGGAAUUCCUGGUGUAGCGGUGAAAUGCGCAGAUAUCAGGAGGAACACCGGUGGCGAAGGCGGUGAUCUGGGCCAGUACUGACGCUGAGGAGCGAAAGCGUGGGGAGCAAACAGG